RNAcentral lists this ribosomal RNA (330 nucleotides) under uncultured bacterium. Its description in RNAcentral is "bacterial SSU rRNA". It matches the Rfam family "Bacterial small subunit ribosomal RNA", at positions 568 to 898 of the family's 1533-position model. The record is from RNAcentral.
CGCGUAGGCGGCUUGCCAAGUCAGUGGUGAAAUCCCGCAGCUUAACUGCGGAAGUGCCUUUGAUACUGGCGAGCUCGAGGGAGGUAGGGGUAUGCGGAACUUCUGGUGGAGCGGUGAAAUGCGUUGAUAUCAGAAGGAACGCCGGUGGCGAAAGCGGCGUACUGGACCUCUUCUGACGCUGAGGCGCGAAAGCUAGGGGAGCAAACGGGAUUAGAUACCCCGGUAGUCCUAGCCCUAAACGUUGGGUACUAGGUUGUGGACUAACAUGGGUUCACAGCCGAAGCAAAAGUGUUAAGUACCCCGCCUGGGGAGUAUGGUCGCAAGGCUGAA